AUUGAAUGACAAAAAUGACGCAUAUUUCCGUAUUUCUGAUGAUAUCAUGGUAGAUUUUGAAUUGAUUUUAAUUAAUACAAACUGGAAUUAAUAUAGAUUAUCAGUGCCUCGAUAACAAUGUUUUCCCUUCGGUUUUUACAGGUCUUCAUGCUUCAUGGUUUUAUAUCAUUCACAAAAGAGCAAACAUAUAAUUGCCCUGAUCCAUGGGUUACUUUUGGAGGCAGUUGUUACAACUUUGUCUUUUACCCAACAAACUAUUAUCCACAAGCUAAAAUGACUUGUAUG
This is a long non-coding RNA of Mytilus trossulus (common blue mussel), 285 nucleotides long. RefSeq lists it as uncharacterized. The transcript is spliced from 3 exons. The record is from RefSeq and is a predicted model, not a curated record. Lineage: Eukaryota; Metazoa; Mollusca; Bivalvia; Mytilida; Mytilidae.